CGGAGACAGACAGUAACUUCAGCAAAAUCAGAUAUUUGGGCUGCUUGACCUCAUUGCGUGAUUGCUAUGAAUUAACAAGACUUUGUGGGAAAAGGGAACUUGCCUUUUGAGCUUUGUACCAAAGACCUGGGUAAAAACUAACCAUCUCAGUCUUUCCUGAGUACUUGGAAACUGCCGAGACCCCUGCUAAUGUGCUGACUGGUCGCUAUGGGCAGACGGUACCCGGAGGCUCACUGUCACCCAAGCAGCUCAUGUACGUAUGGGAUUGGUCCCUCUUCUUUUUUCCUUUAAGUUUCAUUGUAGACUAUUGCAGUAAAGGUUUGUAACAUUUAAAUGAGAGUGUUUAGAAAUGCAGGAGGAUGCGUUGCUCUAGGGUACGUUUUUAAUAUUGAAUGAUGGGAAAUGUUAUUUAAAUUAGGCUUUUUCUAAUCCAGU
This 435-nucleotide long non-coding RNA is filed under the name Lynx canadensis (Canada lynx). RNAcentral describes it as "lncRNA (ENSLCNG00005005779.1)". The record is from RNAcentral. Lineage: Eukaryota; Metazoa; Chordata; Mammalia; Carnivora; Felidae.